UACCUACGGGGCGCAGCAGUGAGGAAUAUUGGUCAAUGGGCGGGAGCCUGAACCAGCCAAGUCGCGUGAGGGAAGACGGUCCUAUGGAUUGUAAACCUCUUUUGUCGGGGAGCAAAGAGAUCACGUGUGGUCAAAAGCGAGAGUACCCGAAGAAAAAGCAUCGGCUAACUCCGUGCCAGCAGCCGCGGUAAUACGGAGGAUGCGAGCGUUAUCCGGAUUUAUUGGGUUUAAAGGGUGCGCAGGCGGAUUUUUAAGUCAGCGGUCAAAUCGUGGGGCUCAACCCCAUCCAGCCGUUGAAACUGGGG
Molecule: ribosomal RNA, 305 nt
Filed under: uncultured bacterium
Lineage: Bacteria
Description: bacterial SSU rRNA
Rfam family: Bacterial small subunit ribosomal RNA
Source: RNAcentral